CGGUCUAUAAUGCAGUCGACGCUUUGUCUUUAACUGAUCUGACGAGCUUGCUCUGAUUUGAUUUUAUCUGACAAAGAGUGGCGAACGGGUGAGUAACACGUGGGUAACCUACCUCUUAGCAGGGGAUAACAUUUGGAAACAAGUGCUAAUACCGUAUAAUACCAACAACCGCAUGGUUGUUGGUUGAAAGAUGGUUCUGCUAUCACUAAGAGAUGGACCCGCGGUGCAUUAGCUAGUUGGUAAGGUAACGGCUUACCAAGGCAAUGAUGCAUAGCCGAGUUGAGAGACUGAUCGGCCACAAUGGGACUGAGACACGGCCCAUACUCCUACGGGAGGCAGCAGUAGGGAAUCUUCCACAAUGGGCGCAAGCCUGAUGGAGCAACGCCGCGUGUGUGAUGAAGGGUUUCGGCUCGUAAAACACUGUUAUAAGAGAAGAACGGCACUGAGAGUAACUGUUCAGUGUGUGACGGUAUCUUACCAGAAAGGAACGGCUAAAUACGUGCCAGCAGCCGCGGUAAUACGUAUGUUCCAAGCGUUAUCCGGAUUUAUUGGGCGUAAAGCGAGCGCAGACGGUUAUUUAAGUCUGAAGUGA
Molecule: ribosomal RNA, 592 nt
Filed under: Weissella paramesenteroides
Lineage: Bacteria; Bacillati; Bacillota; Bacilli; Lactobacillales; Lactobacillaceae
Description: bacterial SSU rRNA
Rfam family: Bacterial small subunit ribosomal RNA
Source: RNAcentral